UAUAAUCCCAGAGCGCGGCAGUUAUCGUUCGAGAAUUAAUCUUUUUCGAAAUGUGUUGCAAAUGUCCACCGUUCACCACCCUCGCCGUCUACCUCCUCCUGUCGAUUCUAAUAGGUUUUUACUUGCACAAAGCGGAGGGAUCGAGCGCUUCCGGACUAAUUUCAAUUAAAUCCUGCAGUGAGACUUUCUUAAUUAAUCUCGCUGCAAAGGGCCACCUCAAUUGAUUUUAUUGUCUGUUUAAAUGUGAAAUAAACUAUUCCUGGCCUUGCCCACA
Tribolium castaneum (red flour beetle) is the source of this 274-nucleotide long non-coding RNA. RefSeq lists it as uncharacterized. Lineage: Eukaryota; Metazoa; Arthropoda; Insecta; Coleoptera; Tenebrionidae. The transcript is spliced from 2 exons. The record is from RefSeq and is a predicted model, not a curated record.